UGGUUCUUAAAUAAUGAAAGCCCUGCCUCUCUUUCAUCCUUGCGGUCCUUGUAACCGCGCCAGUGGAAAUAAGGCAUCGUAUAUUGU
RNAcentral lists this small RNA (87 nucleotides) under Actinophytocola xinjiangensis. RNAcentral describes it as "BsrC". It matches the Rfam family "BsrC". Rfam says of the family: The 301 nucleotide sequence from Kouji Nakamura has been trimmed to a highly conserved ~85 nucleotide long core to form this family. RNAcentral also lists the same sequence under 1 other name. Lineage: Bacteria; Bacillati; Actinomycetota; Actinomycetes; Pseudonocardiales; Pseudonocardiaceae. The record is from RNAcentral.